AAUAAGAUAGGAUAAGUAAGUCUAUUGGGUUCAUACCUCAAAGGUGUUUUCUCUUGUUA
Molecule: transfer RNA, 59 nt
Filed under: Kalicephalus indicus
Lineage: Eukaryota; Metazoa; Nematoda; Chromadorea; Rhabditida; Diaphanocephalidae
Description: tRNA-Met
Source: RNAcentral